RNAcentral lists this ribosomal RNA (202 nucleotides) under uncultured bacterium. RNAcentral describes it as "partial 16S ribosomal RNA". It matches the Rfam family "Bacterial small subunit ribosomal RNA", at positions 151 to 353 of the family's 1533-position model. The record is from RNAcentral.
UGGAAACGGUAGCUAAUACCGCAUAACGUCGCAAGACCAAANAGGGGGACCCUCGGGCCUCUUGCCAUCGGAUGUGCCCAGAUGGGAUUAGCUUGUUGGUGGGGUAACGGCUCACCAAGGCGACGAUCCCUAGCUGGUCUGAGAGGAUGACCAGCCACACUGGAACUGAGACACGGUCCAGACUCCUACGGGAGGCAGCAUG